This is a long non-coding RNA of Cornus florida, 1069 nucleotides long. RefSeq lists it as uncharacterized. The transcript has 2 exons. Lineage: Eukaryota; Viridiplantae; Streptophyta; Magnoliopsida; Cornales; Cornaceae. The record is from RefSeq and is a predicted model, not a curated record.
CAAAAUUGACCUUCUCUCUCUCCCUUUCCUUUCUCUCUCCAUUCACCCACCACCACCACCACUAACUCCAUUGCCAUUUCCAAACCCAGACCCUUACAAGAUUCAAUUAAGCUUCAAAAUGCGUUGGUGUUGGUGGUGGCAAGUGUAUUGGUGGUAACUCCAAAUUUAAUAGAUUACUUUCCCUAAACUAUAUAUAUAUAUAUAUAACUUUGGAUAUACAUAUAUACGCACUGGUAGGAAGUUGAAGGAACCCCACUUGUAGGAAAUUAAACAAACCUUAAUGAAGUUUGAAACCCACUAAGCACCAUAACCAUUACCACCACCACCAAGCACUAUCACCUUUACUGCCUCCUCUACAAUCACAGCCACCACCAUCAUUAAUUUCUUUCUUUUUUUAAUUUUAAGCUUGAUUCAAAUCUGUCAGUUUUAAGGCAUUUGAAUCUGAAGAUAUGAAUUUUUUUUUGUUCCUCCACCCUUGAAAUUUAAAGGCCUCUACAUCACCUGUACGGAAGAACAUCAUUGAUCAGGCUGGUAAACAGAGAUGACGCGCCAACUACUUGGUGGGUCCUAAUCUGGCUUUGCUUCGUCUCCGUCGUCAGCUCCGGCAUCUUCAACCUCAUCGGAAAAUAAGCUCACAACACUGUCGGACCCUCUCUGUGCUGCUCUCGUAAGUUUCUUUUGGAGUCUAUAAUUGUUGAUCAGCAUUUGGCAGCAAUUUGUGGAGGUAGAGAGAAGAAGAGAGAUGGUGGGAUGGUGGUGUGGUGGUUGCUGCGGCGGCCAUGGAGUGGUUGGAAAGAAAACAAAAUCUGACAUAAAAGAGAGAAAAUAGUGGGGUUGCAAAAUAGUGUAAAGGGCAAAAUUGUCAUUUGACUUACUCAAAUAUUUUGACAUUUUUAGUAAUAUAAUAAUGAGGGUAGAUAAGUAAAUUUACAACAAAAUCUGACUUGGGGAGGUGUUUGCAAAAAUAUGGCAAACUUCAGAUUUAGUUACAUAUAGUCCAAACCUCAAACCUCAUGGGAGAUCAUUGUAAUUUGCCCUAAUUAUAAUACAAUAAUGUCAGUUAAGUUAA